Cydia amplana is the source of this 523-nucleotide long non-coding RNA. RefSeq lists it as uncharacterized. The record is from RefSeq and is a predicted model, not a curated record. The transcript is spliced from 2 exons. Lineage: Eukaryota; Metazoa; Arthropoda; Insecta; Lepidoptera; Tortricidae.
GGUUUUGUAAAUCUUGCAAAUGAUAGCACUUAAUCUUCCUCUAAUUUUUUUACUGGAAUUUGACUAUAAAAAAUCACUGUGUUGACUAACCUAUCUUUUACAUUGGGUCUUAGCAUAAUAGUCUUAACUCGUCGUAAGCAAAUAAACAGUAUUCAAUAUGUGACCAUGUACAUAAUAGCUGAUAAAUCUAUUUUUUAUUAGUAAGGAGUAAUUAUUAUAUUUUGGAAUAGAGCUGUGUAAAUCUGAGCCGAUUUAUUUAUGAUAGUCUAAGUCUAUUUGAUAUGUUAUAUCGUCGAGUCGCAACCCUAGGUGCCAACCGUCACAAUUUCUACGAUAAAAACUAACUUCAAUAUGAAACUUGUUGCAUAUUUUUAUUUUGUUUGAUCUCUGAUAGGGUUGUGCCUCUAGGGUUGCGCUUGUUUUAUCAAUUGUAAAUUGCAUUUUACGCAAUAGCUCUACACAUUAAACGUGUCGUUUGUGAGUAAUUGAUUCUGUAUUUAAAAAAUAAAAGGAUUCUUUAUAA